AGCAAAGAAGAGGAGGAUAAGGAUGCAUCCACUUCCUUGAAAACAAAAGCAGAACCACCUAAGAGUGUCAUUGAAGCACGUGCAGUAGCAUGGGAGGAAGCUGAGAAGGCCAAGUAUAUGGCCAGGGUGCUGCCCAAAUAAAACUUGCACGAGGGGCCUGUGACAUCUCAUCUCAAAGAUAUAAAACUAUUACAGUGCAUUCACUUAAUAGCUGAAGCUUUCAAGAGCACUGGACUUCAUCAAUUGUCUAUUUAUUUUUGCUACAAAUAGACCCAUGAAUAUUUGUCAAAAGAAUCUGGACCUACCAUUUUCUUUAGGUGUUUAAUCAUGUAAAAAGUAAUAUUGCUACUACAUUUCUUCUGUAAGUAGCAUUUUGUAAAGCUUUUUCAUGUUUGCGGAUUCCCCUCA
Molecule: non-coding RNA, 408 nt
Organism: Cajanus cajan (pigeon pea)
Lineage: Eukaryota; Viridiplantae; Streptophyta; Magnoliopsida; Fabales; Fabaceae
Source: RefSeq, a predicted model, not a curated record